GUUGCUUCUCUGAUUUGAAAUCUGAUUGGCCAAAUUGGUUUCGACUGGUUGUUGGUCAUUCGUUUUGAGAAGCAUAUAUUGAGCUUAAAAGUGCCAGCUUUAAACAGCAUAAUGGUUUGUCUAUAGCAUUGUGUUACCUGUCACCUGGUACAUGC
Molecule: small nucleolar RNA, 155 nt
Organism: Humulus lupulus (European hop)
Lineage: Eukaryota; Viridiplantae; Streptophyta; Magnoliopsida; Rosales; Cannabaceae
Product: small nucleolar RNA snoR137
Exons: 1
Source: RefSeq, a predicted model, not a curated record